Long non-coding RNA from Ictalurus punctatus (channel catfish), 1452 nucleotides. The record is from Ensembl. Lineage: Eukaryota; Metazoa; Chordata; Actinopteri; Siluriformes; Ictaluridae.
CCCCUAUUUACUGUAAGUUAGUCCAUGAUCGAUCUGUUCCUAUACUUUUGGUCUUGCCGCUCCAGUAGUUUCAGAGGGGACUGUAGCUAGGUCCAAAGUAUUUUAAAUGUCUCUACAUUUCUGUCACACUAAAACAAACACGGCACAAAUGAACACACAUCGCUACGGGACACUCCUCGAGUUUUCGCUCAUUUGCUCGCGUGCAUUUCGAGCUCCGCCUUCUCCCACACGUCUUUUUUUUUUCGCUCCGUUCUGAUCCGUUUUCGUACCAAACAGGAACCGAAUCGAGACGGUCAUCUCGGAUAUGGACUAACAGUUGAGAAAUUGGUGUGUAAUGAUGUCAUUAAGUCAUCAUCGGGAAGAAGAACGGGGCAGUAGGCUGUUUUGCACGCCAUGACGCAUCUGAAUUAAUGAUAGUCAUUUCUAACACUUCUUUGGAGGAGUAAUUAUAGAGCUUUGUAAACAACUUAGGAAGCAUUAUAAUCAAAGUCAUGAGGAUUUAAGAUCACAGGUUUCACAGACUGCACAAAUAACACUAACCUUACACCUCUAAUGCUGCAUUACACACACACACACACACACACACACACACACACACACACACACACACACACACACACACACAGCCUUAUAUUUGUUAACAUGAAAAAUACAUCAGACUGCAAUGCAUUGUGGGGAAAUUCUGCCCCUGAAAGCCUACAUUCAUAUACAUACACAUACAUCUCCAGUCCUGUUUAUUCAUGUUUACUCCUACAUUCAUGUUUAUUCAUGUUUACAUCUCCAUUCCUGUUUAUUCAUGUUUACUUCUACAUUCCUAUUUAUUCAUGUUUACUUCUACAUUCAUAUUUAUUCAUGUUUACUCCUACAUUCAUGUUUAUUCAUGUUUACUUCUACAUUCCUGUUUAUUCAUGUUUAUUUCUACAUUCAUGUUUAUUCAUGUUUACUCCUACAUUCAUGUUUAUUCAUGUUUACUCCUACAUUCAUGUUUAUUCAUGUUUACUCCUACAUUCAUGUUUAUUCAUGUUUACUCCUACAUUCAUGUUUAUUCAUGUUUACUCCUACAUUCAUGUUUAUUCAUGUUUACUCCUACAUUCAUGUUUACUUCUACAUUCCUGUUUAUUCAUGUUUACUCCUGCAUUCAUGUUUAUUCAUGUUUACUCCUACAUUCAUGUUUAUUCAUGUUUAUUUCUCCAGUCCUGUUUAUUCAUAUUUAUUUCUACAUUCAUGUUUAUUUCAUGUUUACUUCUACAUUCAUGUUUAUUCAUGUUUACUCCUACAUUCAUGUUUAUUCAUGUUUACUCCUACAUUCAUGUUUAUUCAUGUUUACUCCUACAUUCAUGUUUACUUCUACAUUCCUAUUUAUUCAUGUUUACUUCUACAUUCAUGUUUAUUCAUGUUUACUUCUACAUUCCUAUUUAUUCAUGUUUACUCCUACAUUCAUGUUUAUUCAUG